This 58-nucleotide transfer RNA is filed under the name Dipodomys ordii (Ord's kangaroo rat). It matches the Rfam family "tRNA", at positions 8 to 63 of the family's 71-position model. Rfam says of the family: Transfer RNA (tRNA) molecules are approximately 80 nucleotides in length. Their secondary structure includes four short double-helical elements and three loops (D, anti-codon, and T loops). The record is from Rfam by way of RNAcentral. Lineage: Eukaryota; Metazoa; Chordata; Mammalia; Rodentia; Heteromyidae.
UGGCUCAGUGGUAGAGUGCUUGUCUUGCAUACAUGAGGUCCUGGGUUCGAUUCCUCAG